RNAcentral lists this long non-coding RNA (526 nucleotides) under Homo sapiens (human). Its description in RNAcentral is "HSALNT0366385". The record is from RNAcentral. Lineage: Eukaryota; Metazoa; Chordata; Mammalia; Primates; Hominidae.
CCAACAAUGAAGCAUAAAUCCAUUCCUAGAGGGUGGGGUCUGCAAGGAGAAGGACAUUGUCAUCUUCAUUAGAUUGUUUAUAUUCAGCUUGGUGUCAGACUACUGUGGUGGACAUUCUUGGGGAAGGUGAUUUGCCACACCACCAGGAACUACAUCUCAUCGUGACUCUGGCCCGCAUCCCACUGAGCAACCCCAACUCCUCAUGGGAGUUCAUGGAAGCCACGGCCACCCAGCAUUGCCACAGCAAGAAGGCUCAGGAGGUGCAUAACUGAUCUGCAGAUGAACCCAGCACCUACUCAGGAAUGGCUGGAGCCGCAGCAGCUACCUUAUGACCGUGGGAUACAAGCCAAGAGAAUCACAGAGAUGCCAUCUUCCACAGAGCAGAGCUGCUAAAUCAACACUUCUAAUUCCCUCCAGACUUAACAUAUGAGAAUUCGGCUGUUACCCAACCAGCCAAAUGUAUGCUUGCCCGGCUAACUUAAAGUGCUGUGGUAAGGACGAAGGGCUGCUAAACGUAUUGUAUGGA